GAUGAAGAACGUAGCGAAAUGCGAUAAGUAGUGUGAAUUGCAGAAUUCCGUGAAUCAUCGAAUCUUUGAACGCACAUUGCGCCUUCUGGAAUUCCGGAAGGCAUGCCUGUUCGAGAGUCAUUAACAACCGUUUCGAUCCCUUUCUUUCAGAAAUUACAAAGAGGAAAAGGGUUUGGUUAUGGUGGAGGAGGGAAAGGGAGCGUUUAGCCUGUAAAAAAAGAGGCUGUGUUCCGCCUCCCCCCCAAAAUUGUACAGGCGGUCGUGUGCGCCCACGCAUCGAGGUGUUGUAAAAGCUGCCACGGCACUUUUCACCUGUGCAGUGCGAGAUUGGCCAGCCGGUUUAAAAACCCCUCCAAACAAUCAAAGGUUGACCUCGGAUCAGGUAGGGAUACCCGCUGAACUUAAGCAUAUCAAUAAGCGGAGGA
This 425-nucleotide unclassified non-coding RNA is filed under the name soil metagenome. RNAcentral's name for it is "partial contains 5.8S ribosomal RNA, internal transcribed spacer 2, and large subunit ribosomal RNA". The stretch from base 1 to 120 matches the Rfam family "5.8S ribosomal RNA", at positions 35 to 154 of the family's 154-position model. The record is from RNAcentral.